This 3645-nucleotide long non-coding RNA is filed under the name Dermacentor andersoni. Its description in RNAcentral is "uncharacterized LOC126546219". Lineage: Eukaryota; Metazoa; Arthropoda; Arachnida; Ixodida; Ixodidae. The record is from RNAcentral.
UAAUUAUGGGCAAAUAUCCUUGUCGGGGAAUCUUUUGGUGCCUGUCAAGAAGCUAUGUGCUCAUGUGCAUAGCUCCAUGACAGUGCCCCAACAGUGCCCUAUCAAUUAGCUAGUAAACUUAAAUAAUAAAAAGAAGGGACUGUAACAGUCAUUUGGAGAACUGCAGAAGUAAGUACGAGUACACGGGAUGUAUAACCCUUUACUUCAACACGCUUAAUUCUACGUUUGAGGUAAAUGCUAAUCACUUUUCUUAUGGUAGUAUGAUGAUUUCUAGUUCCACUAAUCAUUUCUGUUACGCACCUGGUCAAAAACCUUGGAAAAAUCUAACUGUAACACAUCCAUUUGGCUGGGUAUCUCUAACAACCAUAAAUGCUUAAAAGUGAUAGACACAAAUUGUAAAUGUCCCUGAAUAUAUGCUGAUAUGGUGACAACAUAUUCUCUUUGACAAAAUCUCUGUUGCAUUAUUUGCAACUUUAUGCUCCAAUAACUUUCAACAGCUCCUAACAGCACAAACAGCAGUAGUUGGUGUGAGAAAGUUGGGUUAAUUGGAAACUUGAUAUUAUUGAAUCUUUCCAGUUCAUAUCAGAAAGAAGAAUGAAACAGGACAGGAGGCCAGGAAGAAGGAAAAGACACUCUACAAAGCUGGCUGAAGCGUGUGCUUCUGUUGACUUGUGCUAUGCAUUGCACAGAGAAAAGCUGCUUUGGAAAAAUUGCUUCAUAAUCAAACCUCGACAAACUGGAUUGACUAUAAAGUCAUUGCUGCUGCGUUUUGAUGCACUCUGUUUAAAGAAAAGGGUGAGUAUCAUGUAAGCAUUUCUAUUUUGUUUCAUAAGAAAUAAAUGCAUGCUGCUUGCUUUUCUUCAAUCCAAGAGAAUAAUUCUGCUGCUGGUAAAUGUUGAAGCAAGAAGUGAUAGAGCCAUUGAAAGUUAAUACUACAAGGCUGGAACAUCAGUUAUUUUCUGAGACGACAUUGUCCGACCUGCUCUCCUCAAAUGCUCCUCCACAAUAUUGUUGUCCUUAAAGCAAACUAUAACCAUUAUAUUUUUACCAUGCUGUAUAGCCACAAUAAGUGUCCUAGUGCUUUUUAGCUGUUAAAAAUUGUCCUAAGGCUUUCAACGGCAGCCCUAGGUGCUGAACACAUCCACUUCAACCAUUUUAGAAGUUUUUACAUCGUCCUAAAUGAUCUACUAGCCAUCAUCAACUGUUCUGUUAGAAGUUCAGAGCUUUUGUUGGAAUGGGAAUUGCUGAGAUCAUACCAUUGCUUAAAGAAACUGGGGCACACAGGUGUGUCUUAGACGAUAUCAGGUCGAUUGCCUUGACAUCGAAUUUGGAAAAGUUAAUACAAAGGGUUUUCUACAUGUCUGUGCAAUAAAUUUUAUUUGUGAGAUAGUACUCCUGAGUCUAGUCAAAUUGGUUUCAUGCCUAGGUAUUCAAUAUAGCAGGCUCAUAUUGUCCUUCAAAAUUGUAUAGAACCCACACGGCACCGAAGGGUGUAUGGUGUGUCAGUGACUCUUCACGCAGUAAAAUAUUAUGAUAGCGCUGAACACGUAAUAUUAGUCAAUUGGCUGCGAAACCUUGACUUCCCCAGCCACUCUAGUAUGGAUUGCAGUAUUCUUAAGUUCUAGAGAAUUUUAUUGCCUCAAUAUUUCAUUUCAUUGUUAGAUACAAUGAAGAGGCAUUCCUCAAGGGGCAGACCUUUCUCCAGUAUUAUAAUGUCUUGCUCAGCUCCAUUCCGCGUAAUCAGGACCUGCAUACUUAAGAUUAUAUGGACGACACAGCAUUUUUCUCAUUGGCAAGUGAUAUUCACUCUCUGUGUCGAUAUACCUACAAAUGUACCUCUCUGUUAAAGAGCCUGUAAACCACUUUGAGCUUGAAAAUUUGUUACAUUGUGGCAGCUGUGUAUCUGCUGUUACUAUGAUAGCUGUGUACCAGUUGUCAUAAGACAAGCUUUUUGUUCAUUUUCCCUGCAUUUUGCUUGUACAGAGUGCAGAAAUAAAAUGAAUGAAUCAUUGCAUUUACAAUGAACCUGCAGCCACAGAAAUUUUCUCGAAACGAUGGUAUACUAGCAGUGUUACAAGCAUUUCAUGCACAACUACAAAGUUGCUGUGGUUUCUCGCUUGCCUUCACUGCCUUCUCCACGUGUCUCUCUUCUCUUUGCCGCAUGCCUCUCUAUACUCCAUCACUCCAUCUCAGAAACUCUGCAGUGCAGCAAAAGCUAUGGAUUGUUUGAGCAAACAGAAUAGAGAAACCAGAAAGAGGGGUCCUCAAUUAUUUGCCUCUGCUAGACCUCUGCAGGAUGCUGACUGAAUGGAAGCUGCAUGAGCUUAUGAAAGGAUCAGUGGUGCACAGUGGGCAAGCCCCCUUCUCUUCUCGAAACACACAGCCAGUUCUUGUAGCAUUGGUGCUCUCGUCCUUUGUCGGUGGACCGAUUGACAGCUUUUACCCUAGUGAUGCAAUGUGCAUGGCCCUGCUGGCAUCAUGACAUGCAAAGCAUCUGGAAUAUCCCUGAGAGGAGCACGAGAUUUUUUUUUUGAAUUAGUGGCUUCCAUGCAGUGCAUAGCACUGCCAUGUUUGCCAAAGAUUAUAAUCAUACCAUUUUGUAUACAAUAUGUCUUUUUAUAUUAUUUUGGAGUGCAGCUCUUAGGUGCCUGUUCCUGCAGUGAGCGUCGGCGCCGACAGCAUAACCAGGCAAACGAGCACAGCGAAACAUGAAAAAGCAAAUGCGGAGUGCAGUGCGGGAUCAAAGACACAAGGAGAAAAGCAGAGGAGGAGGAUAUAGUGAAAGGCGCAUGUCUCUGCGUGUCGCCCAUGUUACAGGCGUGUGUCCCAGGUAGACGAAAAUGCCUAACCGUCACCGCAACUAUUGUUUUGCGCCCGGCUGCUGUACAGGGCACAGCCGCGUAAAGGCACACUGAAGCCGUCCUUGUUCAAUGUUCCGCGAGACGAAGAAAGGUGAGAACGGAAUUUGCACCAAUCAGAUAAAGUAUUGGAUGAGACGACAUGUGCGGUCUGCGAGCUAUAUUUCGAGUCACGAUACAUAAUCAGAGACUAUGUGCAUGUAAUUGAUGGCAAGGAAAUACGUAUUCCUCACAGAAGGCCCCUGCUAUCAGAAGAUGCCAUCCCCACGAUUCUCCCGAACCUGCCUGACCUCUUCCCAUGACCACAACGAGUACAGUACGAAGAGCGACUCGUGGUUAGCAUAUUAUGUUGCUGGUUAUGUCGCACGAAAGUGUGUGUUAAAGACUUAAGUGUGAAGGUUGCAAGCAAACUUUGACAAUGCGAACCAGUGAGGAGGGCUCAGAAGUCACAGACUUCACGCGGCUCAGGGAUAAGGAAGCGCUAUCGUAUCCACGUGGGGCAUUGUUCUGCUUUGUUGAAACACUUGAGAACUUGUUCACAGAAUGCUUUAGCAAAAACAAGCUGCACUCUGAAAGCAUCCUGGAUGUACUGAGUUUGGCAAAGGUCAACUGCACGAACACAAUUGGUUGCAGCGAACGCGCGGCUGAACUAACAAGGAAGGUGGUCAGUUUCUACCUGGCAACUCGGCUGCACUUAUUUGUGAAAGGAGAAUGCAGAGAAGCGAGGUAACAAGGUGACAAUGAAACUCCGAAAGAUGAGUAGGUGCGCCUAAGUUAAAUAUGCAAC